This 1270-nucleotide long non-coding RNA is filed under the name Parus major (Great Tit). RNAcentral describes it as "lncRNA (ENSPMJG00000000526.1)". The record is from RNAcentral. Lineage: Eukaryota; Metazoa; Chordata; Aves; Passeriformes; Paridae.
UGCUGAUGGCUGGCUGGCUACCUUCGUGGCUGGGACAGAGGGCAGGCAGGAGGACUUCUCCUGCAGGCAGGCAGACUUCUCCUGCAGGCAGGCAUGCAAACUAUGUAAUCUCUGUAACAAGCAGAGAUCAGCCAGAGGCCUUUAAUGCUGCUGAGACCUUGACUACACAAGCACUGAGGAGAAACUGCCAGGCACACCUUGGAAGAGGAACAAUAACCCAUAAUUUGAUGACUCUAAAAGGUCCUGAGCAUUGGCUCCAACUCAGCCAUUGGGAAUUACCACCAGGAUGCUUCCUGGACACUCCAGGGACCAGUUUGGCUGGAAUUUCUCUUGUGUUUUGCACAGCACAUGCAGAGCCAGGAAUGGAUCCACACACAUACACACUGUACGAGGGAAAGCUGAAGCUGUAUGUUCUGGAUUUUCUCCUAGUAUUUCUUUACAGCUUGAAGUUGAAAAACUGGUCCUUAUCUCCUGAGCUCUAUCAGGAGUGGCAUCAGUGUCAGUUUCAUCAGGAGCACACCUUCUGGAAUGGGAGUGCUGCCCUGCAGGUGCCAAAACACAGGUGUUUAAGGACAUCUGAGAUGCCCUGGGGAUCCCACCUGGCCUCUCUCUGCUGAUCCAAAAGGACACAAAACCCUUUAGAUGGUAUCCCAGCUACCCCAAAGCAUUUCCAGUGACACAGAGGUUACUCCUAAAGGUUUGGGGUUUUAUUUUCAAUUUUUUUUUUCAUUUCGAAUGUCAUUAAUUGGUGUUUGAAUUAAACCAGUGAUGUGCAUGUAGCUCCAGGUGUUUUAUUGUCCAGGUUUAUGUGUUUUUUUGGGGAUCCACUACUCUGGAAGAAGGAGUAUGACCUUGUUUCUCUGGGACAGUGGUUGAUGUUGGCCACUCUCUGUCACAAGGAGGUCUACAUUAUAUUUUUAAUUCACUGGUAACCGCAAAGAAAUCCAGAGGAGAAAAAGAAGGAAUAACAAAACAAGAACAUUAGGAGCUGGAAGGGAUGGUGAGAGGAAAGACUUCCAAAAGUAGAGAGGUAAAGGAAGAGCCAUUAUUCAAACCUCAGGCUCCUCUGGAAGGCACACAGCAGAGCAAAGGCUCCCUCUCAGUCAUGGGAUGCCUGGUGCAACACAACUGCCUCCAGAAAACCUGCAGGUGAAAUGAAGUGGAAGAAACAGAUAAUACACAGGAAAAUGUACCCCUUGACAAGGAUCUUAGUUAUGAAAGUGCUUUAUAGGGUAAUAAAUGCUCAGUAGCAAGUUUAAAAUAAAAAUAA